GGUUAUAUAGCUCAAUGGUAAAGCACUUGCCUAGCAUGCAUGAGGCCCUGGGGUUCAGUCCCCAUCACCA
Molecule: transfer RNA, 70 nt
Filed under: Marmota monax (woodchuck)
Lineage: Eukaryota; Metazoa; Chordata; Mammalia; Rodentia; Sciuridae
Rfam family: tRNA
About the family: Transfer RNA (tRNA) molecules are approximately 80 nucleotides in length. Their secondary structure includes four short double-helical elements and three loops (D, anti-codon, and T loops).
Source: Rfam by way of RNAcentral